CCUUGGAGUGGCUUCCGGAGCUAACGCGUUAAAUCGACGCUGGGGAGUACGGCCGCAAGGUUAAAACUCAAAUGAAUUGACGGGGGCCCGCACAAGCGGUGGAGCAUGUGGUUUAAUUCGAUGCAACGCGAAGAACCUUACCUACUCUUGACAUCCAGAGAAUUUAGCAGAGAUGCUUUAGUGCCUUCGGGAACUCUGAGACAGGUGCUGCAUGGCUGUCGUCAGCUCGUGUUGUGAAAUGUUGGGUUAAGUCCCGCAACGAGCGCAACCCUUAUCCUUUGUUGCCAGCACAUUAUGGUGGGAACUCAAAGGAGACUGCCGGUGAUAAACCGGAGGAAGGUGGGGAUGACGUCAAGUCAUCAUGGCCCUUACGAGUAGGGCUACACACGUGCUACAAUGGCGUAUACAAAGAGAAGCGACCUCGCGAGAGCAAGCGGAACUCAUAAAGUACGUCGUAGUCCGGAUGGAGUCUGCAACUCGACUCCAUGAAGUCGGAAUCGCUAGUAAUCGUAGAUCAGAAUGCUACGGUGAAUACGUUCCCGGGCCUUGUACACACCGCCCGUCACACCAUGGGAGUGGGUUGCAAAAGAAGUAGGUAGCUUAACCUUCGGGAGGGCGCUUACCACUUUGUGAUUCAUGACUGGGGUGAAGUCGUAACAAGGUAACCA
Molecule: ribosomal RNA, 668 nt
Filed under: uncultured Providencia sp.
Lineage: Bacteria; Pseudomonadati; Pseudomonadota; Gammaproteobacteria; Enterobacterales; Morganellaceae
Description: bacterial SSU rRNA
Rfam family: Bacterial small subunit ribosomal RNA
Source: RNAcentral